CUCUAGCCCUGAUUGGAACGACAUCCUUUUUGGUUGCGGGCGGAGUGAAGCGGAGUCCGCAACCAAAAAGAUACAGUGAAAAGCAGGAAACAGC
RNAcentral lists this small RNA (94 nucleotides) under Chryseobacterium gambrini. RNAcentral's name for it is "Flavo-1 RNA". It matches the Rfam family "Flavo-1 RNA". The record is from RNAcentral. Lineage: Bacteria; Pseudomonadati; Bacteroidota; Flavobacteriia; Flavobacteriales; Weeksellaceae.